GAUGAACGCUGGCGGCGUGCCUAAUACAUGCAAGUCGAACGGAAAGGCCCUGCUCUUGUGGGGUGCUCGAUUGGCGAACGCGUGAGUAACACGUGAGUAUCCCGUCCUUGACUUUGGGAUAACUCUAGGAAACUGCGGCUCAUACCGGAUAUGAUCUCUUGCUGCACGUUGUGGGAUGGAAAGUGUCGGCGGUUGGGGAUGGACUCGCGGCUUAUGAGCUUGUUUGGGUGGUAGUGGCUUACGAAGCCUUUGACGGCUAGCCGGCCUGAGAGGCGGACCGGGCACAAUAGGACUGAGAGACGGAGCAGUAGCCUACGGGAGGCAGCAGUGGAGAGUAUUGCGCAACAGGCGGAAGCGAGAUACAGCAGCGCCGCGUGCGGGAUGACGGCUUACGAGUUAAAAACAGCUUUCGACGGUGACGAAGCGUGAGUGACGGUAAUGGGUAAGGAAGCAACGGCUAACUACGUG
Molecule: ribosomal RNA, 468 nt
Filed under: uncultured bacterium
Lineage: Bacteria
Description: partial 16S ribosomal RNA
Rfam family: Bacterial small subunit ribosomal RNA
Source: RNAcentral